UUGCUACCAACUGUGCUGCACAUAAGUUCACUGGUUAUCAGCUGCCUUUCAUGUUAAAAGUAGCCAGAGUGAGUAAACAGGCGAAUGCUGCAGUUUUCUGGCGACUUUAGAAAGUACCUGGUGGAGCUAAACUGUUAGCCUUCAUUAGCUCUAGUUGUUAUCAACUGCCUGAAAGUUCAUCUCAAUCUGCUCCCAGAAGUAAGAGCCCUGCAUGUUCCGACCGAGAGACACCAUACCAUUGUCUUCGGCCGUGAUGCACUGACAUCGGUCAGGUUUUUUUGUAUGCUGAAUUGUUCCUGAGGUGGAUUCCUCCGGUGAAAUAGAUGGCGAGCCUUCCCACCUGGACU
This is a long non-coding RNA of Oreochromis aureus, 347 nucleotides long. RefSeq lists it as uncharacterized. The record is from RefSeq and is a predicted model, not a curated record. Lineage: Eukaryota; Metazoa; Chordata; Actinopteri; Cichliformes; Cichlidae. The transcript is spliced from 3 exons.